AGGGCUUUACCAUAGGAGAGAGAUUGCGGGCCCAGGGUUUAGAGUAUUUUUGUUCCUUAGAUCUCCCCACAUACCCUGGCCUAGUUAGAGAGUUUUAUGGUACUGCCCAUAGGGGCAAUGGGGGAAUAGAGGGAACUGUAGCCGGUGUCCCAUUGUUUAUUUCCGAGGAUUUCAUAGCCCAAAUCCUCCACCUUCCACAAGUAGGGGUAGCUCCCACACACCCCGAGGAUAGGACUGAGGCCCUUACGGCCAUUCUAGGAUAUCCACCCCAGUCCCCCUUAGAUGAGGUGUCCGCUAGCUCACUUUCUGUUGAGAUGCGGCUCCUCCUUAGCAUC
This 335-nucleotide long non-coding RNA is filed under the name Phoenix dactylifera (date palm). RNAcentral's name for it is "long non-coding RNA (PDAC_LNC016014)". The record is from RNAcentral. Lineage: Eukaryota; Viridiplantae; Streptophyta; Magnoliopsida; Arecales; Arecaceae.